AUGAUCCCAUCAUACUUCUGCUGGAACCAGCGCAUGGCCUCCUCUUUUGAGGCAGAGCUUGCGGACGCAAAGUUCCCGCAUGGGGUUCUCCUUUUCACCUUGAUCCUGUGCCACGAUGGAGAACAGGAAGAAAAGCUCUUUUUCACUUAUUUGAAUGCAUAUACAUGCACAGAAAGAGAGACAGAGAGACAUAGACAGAGAUCUCAUCAACUGAUUCACCUCCCAAAUGCCCACAAUAGCUAGGCUGGGCCAGGCUGAAGUCCAGAGCUUAGAACUCAAUCCAGGUCUCCCAAAUGGGUGGCAAGUACCCAAGUGCUUGAUGCAUCACAGGUACCUCCUAAAGUGCACAUUAAGUGAAAACAGGAAUUGGAAGUGGAGCCGGGACUCUAACCUAGGCAUUCCUAUAUGAGAUGUGGGGUCUGACGUGAUGUCUUUACUGCUGUGAUGAAGACCCACUCCUUUUAUUUCUGUCUUUUUUUUAAACUACUGAUAAGAAUAUUCAUUAUAAAAUUUCAAAGAAUGCUUUAGCUUUAAUCAUCUAUUCACCAAGAUAUUAAUAGCUAGAGCUUCACUUAUAUAGGAAAAUUGUUUUUGCUGUAAUCAUCAGUUGUUAUAAACUGGAACUUUAUCUGACACUCAUCUAUGCUGUGGCUUUUAUUUAACUCACUCUGAUUCAUUUGGUUUAUCCAGGAAUAGUGGAUUCCCUGUCAUCAGAACAGUCCUAAAAGGUGUGUCAGGACCCCUGCAGCCCUUAUUCCUUUGCAACAGGCUUUAUAGUUGGUUUUUUUUUUUUUUUAAUACACUUCCUCUCAUCUAAGUACUGAGUCUUCCUUGGUACCUCUACAUAAGGAAGAAAUUGGUUUUUCUUUUCCAUCUGACAAAAAGAAGAGGGAAAAAGAGAGAAGGAUAGGUGGACAGGUCAGGAGAGAGAAUCUUUUUAUUUAUUUAUUUAUUUGACAGAUAGAGUUAGACAGUGAGGAGAGAGAGAGAUGGAGAGAAAGGUCUUCUUUCUGUUGGUUCACCCUCUAAAUGGCCGCUACAGCCGGAGCUACGCCGAUCCAAAGCCAGGACCCAGGUGCUUCUUCCUGGUCUCCCAUGCAGGUACAGGUGCCCAAGCACUUGGGCCAUCCUCCACUGCCUUCCUGGGCUACAGCAGAGAGCUGGACUGGAAGAGGAGCAACCAG
RNAcentral lists this long non-coding RNA (1184 nucleotides) under Oryctolagus cuniculus (rabbit). RNAcentral describes it as "lncRNA (ENSOCUG00000034542.1)". The record is from RNAcentral. Lineage: Eukaryota; Metazoa; Chordata; Mammalia; Lagomorpha; Leporidae.